Molecule: ribosomal RNA, 489 nt
Filed under: uncultured bacterium
Lineage: Bacteria
Description: bacterial SSU rRNA
Rfam family: Bacterial small subunit ribosomal RNA
Source: RNAcentral
UUAUGGCUCAGGAUGAACGCUGGCGGCGUGCUUAACACAUGCAAGUCGAACGAAGCGAUUUCUUGCUGCAAGAAAUUGGCUAGUGGCGGACGGGUGAGUAACGCGUGGGUAACCUGCCUCAUACAGGGGGAUAACAGUUGGAAACGACUGCUAAAACCGCAUAACCCGCUAGUGUCGCAUGACACGGACGGAAAAUAUUUAUAGGUAUGAGAUGGGCCCGCGUCUGAUUAGCUAGUUGGUAAGGUAAUGGCUUACCAAGGCGACGAUCAGUAGCCGACUUGAGAGAGUGAUCGGCCACAUUGGGACUGAGACACGGCCCAAACUCCUACGGGAGGCAGCAGUGGGGAAUAUUGGACAAUGGGGGAAACCCUGAUCCAGCGAACCGCCGCGUGAGUGAAGAAGUAUUUCGGUAUGUAAAGCUCUAUCAGCAGGGAAGAUAAUGACAGUACCUGACUAAGAAGCCCCGGCUAACUACGUGCCAGCCGCAGC